RNAcentral lists this ribosomal RNA (249 nucleotides) under uncultured bacterium. RNAcentral describes it as "partial 16S ribosomal RNA". It matches the Rfam family "Bacterial small subunit ribosomal RNA", at positions 523 to 769 of the family's 1533-position model. The record is from RNAcentral.
AUACGUAAGUGGCAAGGCGUUGUCCGGAUUUACGUGGGCGUAAAGAGUAUGUAGGCGGAUAUUUAAGUCAGAUGUGAAAUUCCCGGGCUUAACCUGGGAGCUGCAUUUGAUACUGGAUAUCUAGAGUGCGGGAGAGGAAAGUGGAAUUCCUAGUGUAGCGGUGAAAUGCGUAGAGAUUAGGAAGAACACCAGUGGCGAAGGCGACUUUCUGGACCGUAACUGACGCUGAGAUACGAAAGCGUGGGGAGC